GACGAACGCUGGCGGCGUGCCUAAUACAUGCAAGUUGAGCGAUGAAGAUUGGUGCUUGCACCAAUUUGAAGAGCAGCGAACGGGUGAGUAACGCGUGGGGAAUCUGCCUUUGAGCGGGGGACAACAUUUGGAAACGAAUGCUAAUACCGCAUAACAACUUUAAACAUAAGUUUUAAGUUUGAAAGAUGCAAUUGCAUCACUCAAAGAUGAUCCCGCGUUGUAUUAGCUAGUUGGUGAGGUAAAGGCUCACCAAGGCGAUGAUACAUAGCCGACCUGAGAGGGUGAGCGGCCACAUUGGGAAUGAGACACGGCCCAAACUCCUACGGGAGGCAGCAGUAGGGAAUCUUCGGCAAUGGACGAAAGUCUGACCGAGAAACGCCGCGUGAGGGAAGAAGGUUGUCGGAUCGUAAAACUCUGUUGGUAGAGAAGAACGUUGGUGAGAGUGGAAAGCUCAUCAAGUGACGGUAACUACCCAGAAAGGGACGGCUAACUACGUG
RNAcentral lists this ribosomal RNA (497 nucleotides) under uncultured bacterium. Its description in RNAcentral is "partial 16S ribosomal RNA". It matches the Rfam family "Bacterial small subunit ribosomal RNA", at positions 28 to 507 of the family's 1533-position model. The record is from RNAcentral.